AUUGAACGCUGGCGGCAGGCCUAACACAUGAAAGUCGAACGAGUGGCGGACGGGUGAGUAAUGUCUGGGAAACUGCCUGAUGGAGGGGGAUAACUACUGGAAACGGUAGAUAAUACCGCAUAACAUCAGAUGUGCCCAGAGGGGAAUAGCUGGUUGGUGGGGUAACGGCUCACCAAGGCGAAGAUCCCUAGCUGGUCUGAGAGGAUUACAAGCCACACUGGAACUGAGACACUGUCCAGACUCCUACGUGAGGCAGCAGUGGGUAAUAUUGCACAAUGGGCGCAAGCCUGAUGCAGCCAUGCCGCAUGUAUGAAGAAGGCCUUCGGGUUGUAAAGUACUUUCAGCGAGGAGGCGUUACCCGCAGAAGAAGCACCGGCUAACUCCGUGCCAGCCGCCGCGGUAAUUC
RNAcentral lists this ribosomal RNA (406 nucleotides) under uncultured bacterium. RNAcentral describes it as "partial 16S ribosomal RNA". It matches the Rfam family "Bacterial small subunit ribosomal RNA", at positions 30 to 526 of the family's 1533-position model. The record is from RNAcentral.